UAAAAAUGUUAAAAAAAUAAACUUGAGAUGCAAUAAUAUUCUUUAAAAAAUUGGCAUAAGCUAAUAAUUAUUUAGGGUAAGAAAGGUUUUGAUAAGAAAUAGUCUUGCAAAAGUUUUCAACUUACAAAGACAAGAAAACAAAAUGUGAAGCAGUAUUCAAAGAAUAAUAUAUUUUAGUUAUAGACACAACUAGGUUAUCUGUAAUGCAAUUUUUUAUAUUCAAGAGAUAAAUAAACUCUUCAAGCAAUUAUAAUAUAGUCCUCUAUGCCUUAUAUAUCAAUUUAAGUGAAAAUAUUCAUUGACUCUAUUCAACAAGAUCUACUAUGUGUGCAAUCUUGUGUAUAAAAAUAUACAUUUUCUUGUAAUUUAUCUAUGAAAAAAAAAAAAACAUUACAUAUAUAUAUAUAUAUAUAUAUAUAUAUUCUUCUUUUGUGGAAUUAUUUUCAAUUUUGAAAUACAAAAAACUAACAUCACACAAUUUUUGUAGUUUUAUUUCUAUGCUUUACAAAGCAAUUUGAACUUGCUUACUUCUUUUAACAUGCACUAAAAUUCAAAGUUUUUACAAGUCUUUACUCUAGAGUCAUUCAAUAAAUAAUACUAAAACUACUUUAAUUUUUUGUUUACAGAAUUUAAAUUUCAAAUUUAAAUUUGUAAAUUUACAAACUUGAUAUUUUCGGUAUAUAUAUAUAUAUUUAAAAUCUAAGAACAAAUGAAUGCGAUUUUGUAAGCAUAACAUAAGAAUGAUAACGAAAAAAAUUCUUCUCUUAUACUGUUUCAAUACUCAAUUGUAGCUUUUAAAUUUGCCUUGAAUUUCCAUUGAACGAUUUCAUCUCUGAUCUUCUUGCUGAAAUAUUAUGUUGAAAUAGAACUUGAAAUUUAUUAUUAUUUAAUGUUUAAAAAUAUAUAUAUAAAUUUGAAAAUUCAUUACCAAGUACUGAAGAUUUAUAUGUGGUAUUUAUAAUUUAAAGAUACUACUUCAAAUCUAAUUUUUUAAUCUUAAUACAAAAUAGUUAUAUAAAACACAUUUCAAAGGUUUUAAAUGAAUUUUUUAAAUCACCAAAAUAUAAUGUUGUUGUUGAAUUCUCGUAAUGUUAUACUAUAGAUAUUAAACUGUAAUUUCUCAUAUUAGGUCAAAGAAAAAAUAUUGAAUCUUUAAUUAGAUUGAAUUAUUCUUAAAAUAAUAAAAUACUCUCUAAAACAAUAACAUCUUAAAUUAGAAAAUGAUUAUUAUACAUCUUUGAUAAAAUAUCAUAGUGUACAAUUAAUUUUCUAAAAUCACAAAGAAUUUUAAUAUCAACAUAUAUAAAUACUUUUGAAACUCUUAAAUUUUUUUGAUUUUUUUAUAAGGUUUUUUAAAAGAUACCUAAACAUUAUAAAAGAAUCUGAAAGAAUUUCACAUGCCAAAAUAGUCACCAAAUUUCUAUCAAAAUACAC
This 1434-nucleotide long non-coding RNA is filed under the name Physcomitrium patens. Its description in RNAcentral is "long non-coding RNA (PPAT_LNC006174)". The record is from RNAcentral. Lineage: Eukaryota; Viridiplantae; Streptophyta; Bryopsida; Funariales; Funariaceae.